Molecule: ribosomal RNA, 401 nt
Filed under: Rhizobium leguminosarum
Lineage: Bacteria; Pseudomonadati; Pseudomonadota; Alphaproteobacteria; Hyphomicrobiales; Rhizobiaceae
Description: bacterial SSU rRNA
Rfam family: Bacterial small subunit ribosomal RNA
Source: RNAcentral
GGCUCAGAACGAACGCUGGCGGCAGGCUUAACACAUGCAAGUCGAGCGCGUAGCAAUACGAGCGGCAGACGGGUGAGUAACGCGUGGGAAUCUACCCUUGACUACGGAAUAACGCAGGGAAACUUGUGCUAAUACCGUAUGUGUCCUUCGGGAGAAAGAUUUAUCGGUCAAGGAUGAGCCCGCGUUGGAUUAGCUAGUUGGUGGGGUAAAGGCCUACCAAGGCGACGAUCCAUAGCUGGUCUGAGAGGAUGAUCAGCCACAUUGGGACUGAGACACGGCCCAAACUCCUACGGGAGGCAGCAGUGGGGAAUAUUGGACAAUGGGCGCAAGCCUGAUCCAGCCAUGCCGCGUGAGUGAUGAAGGCCCUAGGGUUGUAAAGCUCUUUCACCGGAGAAGAUAAU